GACAGAGGUGCCAAGCGUUAGGCGGAAUCACUGGGCUUAAAGCGUGUGUAGGCGGACUGGUAAGUACCUUGUGAAAUCCCACAGCUCAACUGUGGAACUGCUCGGUAUACUGCUUUUCUUGAGCCACUUAGGGGCUGUCGGAACAAACGGUGGAGCGGUGAAAUGCGUAGAUAUUACGAAGAACACCAAUGGCGAAGGCAGCUUGCUGGGCCACACCUGACACUAAGGCACGAAAGCGUGGGGAGCGAACAGG
This 253-nucleotide ribosomal RNA is filed under the name uncultured bacterium. Its description in RNAcentral is "partial 16S ribosomal RNA". It matches the Rfam family "Bacterial small subunit ribosomal RNA", at positions 524 to 776 of the family's 1533-position model. The record is from RNAcentral.